CUCUCUCUCUCUCUCUGCCUCCCUCUCUUUACGCGUAUACACAUAGACACAUACCUUUCUCUCUUUCGCGCUUACCCUCGUAGGGUUAGGCAUCCUCGCGGUAGAAGCUUGCGUCGCGUCGCCACCCUCCUCUCCCGGAGAGAUCCGACGGAUCUCACGAAAGCGAGAGAGGAGAAGAAUCACGCUGCAGAGCAGCACGUGUGCUGCAGUCGCGCGGGUCGACAAGCGCGCGCUUAUAGUCAUCGGCUCUCAUCCGGCGAGGGUCAUCGCGCCGAUAGUCGAUGCGAGUAAUAGUUGUUGACCGUGCUCGAGAGACUGUCGCGAGAGCGUCGAUCGAGGGGUUGCUUGGCGCGACAGGUUCGUUUAAGCGCGACCGGGCUGCUCGCGAGAGUGAAGGGGUGUCGGGAGAACGAAGUUGCGCGAGCUCGGAGCAAUCGGCCGAGUCGGUCCAAGCUUGGCGCAUCAACGCAAAACGGAGUGUUCAACCCCCGCGCGAGUGACUGUACGCGCGAGGACAGCACGAGCUCUCGAAUAAGUCGUCGGCUCGCGAGUCGCCGGCACUGUGAUUGGUAAUACGCGAGGUGCGACGAAACAGCGAGAUCCGCGAACGGAUUCGCAGUGGUGCCUUUGCCGAGCGAGGACGUCGGUGGGAGGACCGACACCGUCGGCCGUCGGCAGUUCUUGUGAACGAAAGUGUUCAAAGGCCCGAAGAUUCUGCCUUCGCAGCAGCUGGGCGCUGCGGUCGCUCCAUGGCCGGGCGCCACCGGCCUCAUAGCUUCAGUCACUGCUGACGACAUGGCACACAAAGGACACAGCGGGGUGAACCAGCUGGGGGGUGUCUUCGUCGGCGGCCGGCCACUUCCGGACUCGACGCGGCAGAAGAUCGUCGAGCUGGCGCACUCGGGCGCGCGACCUUGCGACAUCUCCAGGAUACUGCAGGUCAGCAACGGCUGCGUCUCGAAGAUCCUCGGCAGUUGCAGGUACUAUGAGACCGGAUCCAUACGGCCCAGAGCGAUCGGCGGCAGUAAGCCGCGCGUAGCCACCGCGGAGGUCGUCAGCAAGAUCUCGCUCUACAAGAGCGAGUGUCCAUCGAUCUUCGCAUGGGAGAUUCGAGAUCGCCUGCUGCAGGAGGGUGUGUGCACAAACGACAACAUCCCGAGUGUGUCUUCGAUCAACAGGGUACUGAGGAAUUUGGCCGCGCAGAAGGAACAGAGGCAACAGCAGCAACAGCAGCAGCAAGGAGUGGGCGCUGUGGGGGUUGGCGUCGGUGCCGGCAGUCCGGCGGAGAGCGUUUACGAUAAACUCAGGCUACUAAACGGGCAGACCACCGGCUGGCCGCGUCCCAAUCCCUGGUAUCCGUCGAGCGCGGGAAGCCCGUUUUCCUCGAUACAGUCCAGUUUGAGUCCGAGCCAUUGUUCGUCCCUGCCGCCGGACCCGGCGGACAUACUCCACGCGAAGAAAGUGCACGGUUACGAAGGAGCAAUUCGGGGGUGGAUAAGGAAGGCGCGCGGAAGAGAGGAUCCCAGGGCGCAGGGGGCGCAGGGGGGGGAGAGAAGAGGCACGGAGAGAACUUGUACGCCAACGUCGCACUCGAUUCUCGAGCGCGCGGUAACCGAGCUGGAGGGUGGCGCGCACUCGGACGAGACGAACAGCGGGGGUGACAACAGCAACGCCGGCAGCGUGUCGGGCGGCGCCGACGACGACCAGGCGCGCCUACGUCUCAAGAGGAAGCUGCAGAGGAACCGCACGAGCUUCAGCAACGAGCAGAUCGACGCGCUGGAGAAGGAGUUCGAGAGGACGCACUACCCGGACGUGUUCGCCAGGGAGAGACUCGCCGGCAAGAUCGGCCUACCCGAGGCGCGAAUACAGGUCUGGUUUUCGAAUCGGCGGGCGAAGUGGCGACGCGAGGAGAAAUUGCGCACGCAACGGAGGGACAAUCCGCAGCAGCAGCAACAGCAACAGCAGCAGCAGCAACAGCAGCAGCAACAGCAACAGCAACACACUGCCGGCGUGAGUCUGGUGGCCGCUGGUCACCCGACGCCGCCGCCGCCUUCGGGGAUACUUGGUGGCCAGCCGCCACCGCAGGCACCACCAUCGCCGCCGAGGAUACAUCACGGAUUCGCGCCCACUGCCGUCUACCCGGGCAUACCCAGCAUGCCUGACUCGUACAGCCCGAUGACGUCGAUGCCAAGCUUCACGAUGUCGGGCGCCAGUCAACAGAACCAGCACACUACCAGCAGCAUGUCCUCGCUGUCGGCUGGCGGCGGCAUGAGCCCGAUGGGCAUGACCGUCGGCAUGACCGUCGGGCCCAGUCCAGGCGCGUGUCUUCAGCAACGGGACAACGGCUACUCGUGCGGGGUCGCGAGACCACCAAGUUACGAGCCCCUGCACCUCGGCUACGGCGCCAGGCCGACUUGCAGCCCGACGCAGCCUUACCACGCGGCGGGUCUCAAUCAGUACAAUCAGAACGCCAGCUCGACCGGUGAGUGUCUACCGCACUCACUGCAUUCGCUGCUUGCACUCUAGCCGAUGGACUACUACUACGGCUACCAUGGAUAACACGCUAUCGAGCUCGCCGGUCUGAUAUCACCCGGCGUGAGUGUGCCGAUCGCAGUACCAGGUCAACCGGCACCCGACAUGGCCGCGCAAUAUUGGUCGCCGAGGCUGCAGUGACCGUGGUGGUCGUCGACGUCGACCUCGUCUCCGUAGACUUGAGCUUCUUCGUCUGCUUCCCAUUCUCUGCGGUUUGCGCGCAAGCGAGCGAGCGAUCGAAUGAGAAUAGCGUGAUCUCGAAAUCUCGAGAUUUCCGCGCGUUGCAAUCGUCCGUCAAUCGAGGCGGACUGCCGUGUCAUUCCCGUUACUAUUUUUAGGUUUCCGGUUUACCGGAACUUCGCACGGAAAUGAGUUUGGUUUGUUCGUCUGUACGCAUUUAUCACUUUCGUUUUUUGCGAGGCGAGUGCGUCGAGCCAGAAGGUUAACUUUGUCGAACGAGUACAUCAUACUAGAUUACAGGCGGAGAUUAAUCGAUUUCCGUGUAUAGCCGCGAAUUUUACAACCGUCAAAUUUAAUCACCGUGUUCUGAUACUGGGAAUUAGCGUCCUCACGCUUGCAAUUAAUAUCCUCCUCGAUCGCGUCUUUUAGUUAUUGUCGGAUUUCCGUUAUUCACCGUUUCGCUUUCGCCAGUACGUCGGCAUCACGAUGCACAACCAGAUGCUUCCCGUCUUCAUUUCGACGCUGCACCGAGAUUCGAAUAAUAUGCAGAAAUAGUGAGACAUCAUACUACUUGUUAAUACGAGUCAAUCAACUCGUGUUCUUCAUAUGACACGUUGACACGGCUAUGAUCGGCAUGAUGUCAUGUACAAAAUGUCGUCCGCGUGUCGGCGCCUCUGCAAUCGCAAAUUCAUUUUCAUUCGUAGCAUCAUUUUUCUGGCCGUGAUAUUUUUCAAAUAAAAUCGAGGUUGAUACAUGUGUUUAGGAAAAAAAGGAGAGAAUGAAAGAGAGAGAGAGAGAGAGAGAGAGAGAGAGAGA
RNAcentral lists this unclassified non-coding RNA (3528 nucleotides) under Harpegnathos saltator (Jerdon's jumping ant). Its description in RNAcentral is "paired box protein Pax-6-like, transcript variant X3". Lineage: Eukaryota; Metazoa; Arthropoda; Insecta; Hymenoptera; Formicidae. The record is from RNAcentral.